RNAcentral lists this ribosomal RNA (430 nucleotides) under Pseudomonadota bacterium. RNAcentral describes it as "Proteobacteria bacterium partial 16S ribosomal RNA". It matches the Rfam family "Bacterial small subunit ribosomal RNA", at positions 355 to 776 of the family's 1533-position model. Lineage: Bacteria; Pseudomonadati; Pseudomonadota. The record is from RNAcentral.
UGGGGAAUAUUGGACAAUGGGGGGAACCCUGAUCCAGCCAUGCCGCGUGUGUGAAGAAGGCCUUAUGGUUGUAAAGCACUUUAAGCGAGGAGGAGGGUACUGGUAUUAAUACUACCAGCUACUGGACGUUACUCGCAGAAUAAGCACCGGCUAACUCUGUGCCAGCAGCCGCGGUAAUACAGAGGGUGCGAGCGUUAAUCGGAUUUAUUGGGCGUAAAGCGUGCGUAGGCGGCUAAUUGAGUCGGAUGUGAAAUCCCCGAGCUUAACUUGGGAAUUGCAUUCGAUACUGGUUAGCUAGAGUGUGGGAGAGGAUGGUAGAAUUCCAGGUGUAGCGGUGAAAUGCGUAGAGAUCUGGAGGAAUACCGAUGGCGAAGGCAGCCAUCUGGCCUAACACUGACGCUGAGGUACGAAAGCAUGGGGAGCAAACAGG